ACACACACACACACACACACACACACACACACACACACACACACACACACACACACACACACACACACACACACACACACACACACACACACACACACACACACACACACUCUGUAAUAUAACCGUCUGGUCAGCACACAGCAGUGAUUUACUCAGGGUAAUAAUGCAUGCCAAAUAACUCCAGGCCUCAGCUAAACACCAAAUUAUUGACUUAAGUUCUUGAUGAAUUGUAACAUUUGUAACAUUUGAAAAGCACAUUUACUGAAUAACAAGAAAAGCAAAAUAUUCCAUUAGUUUCACUUAAGAAAACAGGCUUGCACUUUAUUUUAUAGUAUGUGCACACACUCACCAACAGAAAGCUAGUACCUGGCUAUUACUGGGUUAUCAUUAAAGCACACAGUAUGUACGUGCAGAACAGGACUGUAAAAUAAAGUGCUUCUAAAAUCAUCAAAUAUCAAACACUUCACCAUUGGUCUGUUAUGCUACUACAGUUUCAUUUAAAUGAUAUUGAUCUCAUGACCUGCAUGACUUCUAGCUUAUAUUUAUAUUUUUUGUAUGUACUAAACAACUGGUAUAAAUAUAAUUCUGAACUACAAUAAAGAAAACAAUUUUGGUUUUAUUAAUGAAA
Long non-coding RNA from Cyprinus carpio (common carp), 628 nucleotides. RefSeq lists it as uncharacterized. The record is from RefSeq and is a predicted model, not a curated record. Lineage: Eukaryota; Metazoa; Chordata; Actinopteri; Cypriniformes; Cyprinidae. The transcript has 2 exons.